This is a long non-coding RNA of Siniperca chuatsi (mandarin fish), 2872 nucleotides long. RefSeq lists it as uncharacterized. The record is from RefSeq and is a predicted model, not a curated record. Lineage: Eukaryota; Metazoa; Chordata; Actinopteri; Centrarchiformes; Sinipercidae. The transcript has 3 exons.
CUACAACUUUCUCUGUUCUGUUCUGUCAGGAAGCGACAUAGAACACAACACCACCCGCCACCGACAGCCAGUUCACAUCGCUGCAGUAGAUAACAAUAUAACAGGGGUCCGCUAGAAAUCCAGCUGACCUGGAGCGCUAUUGGGCUGACCCAGCAAGACACCUGGGCUGAGUAGAAGCAGGGUUGCUGCAGACUGGCCUUUAGCUCUUUUUCAUUGAAAAUGGACUCCCACUGGCCUCCUUUUGGCUUUGAAAAUAUGUUCCUUUAUGUGCCUGGACCCCCAUACUACCACAGUACAAUACUAAUAAUAAUGACACUGAAUGAAAAUCUCCACACUGGACCAAUUUACAAACACACAAAGGAACUGAGAUGCUCCUCACCAUCUCAGUAUGAGUUUUGUUAUUGAGUUACAAUGAUGAGGCCUACUGCUGAUGCUUUAUUAUCCUCAGAAAAGAAUUUCUCAAGGCGAUGCUUGUCAGUUCACAAUAAUAGAAUGAUGCCACCCACACAAAUACAAAGCUAAUGUUAUUAUAGCGUAGUUAGACUGAUGUGCCUGCCCUGUUAUUUAAGUGCAUUAAACUGGGGCAGCUACUGUAUUGUUUUGAAUGCAUUUACUAUGAAUCCAGCAGUGUCGUGAAGGUAGCAGAGCAAAAUUCAAUCAGUGGCUCGUCUCCACUAAGAACACCUGGUGAGGGGACAAGCAUCACGCUGAGGGCCUGCGCAGACCCCUGCUGGAAUGAGGCUGCAAAUCAAAGCAUCAGAGGUGUUUCAUCUCUUCACUGGAGUCUCAGUUUUUGAUAUGGGGUUAAGAUUGAAAGGAUGACACUUCAACUUAUGGCUCCUCACAUCUACAGCCACGAGAUCCUCUCCCAGCAUCUACGAUCCAGACGCACGAGGGAGAAACCUUGACGAGGCGCAUGAGAAGAAAACCAGCACAUUUGGGUAUGACUAAAACCUUCAAAGCGUUCUCCUUCAGCCAGAUCUUUUUUGUGAUUCAGCCUAUAGUGCAGACGAGCAGCACAUGGAAAAAGAUAUUCUAUAUUUUCGGCAGCAUAUGUUAUUUGUGUUUCUCUGGACCUUGAGGUUCAUGGAGCCCCCGCAAAAUGAAGUGAGAGCUUGCAGCAGCUGCCAGACGGCAUGUAGUAUAGAAAUACUACCUCCUCUGAUGAGGUCGAGAGGAAAGACAAAUUUUUAAAGGAGAAAGGAAAUAAGAGGAUUAGGGCUGAUAAUGUGUGUGCAGCCUCCCACUAAGACAAGUGUGCCUUGUUGCAGAAUACCUGUGGCUCAUGUAAGGACCUGUUUACAAUGGAUUCAUAGACAUUCACAAGACAAAGGAGGAGCAUUUUUAUUGGUUGGUGGAGGUUGUUUUAGUGGCAGGUGUGAUUAGAUCUUAAUUAAAUAAAAUACAUGCGGAAAGAGCUGAAGGUCAUCAACAGUUUGUAGAUGCUUACAGCACAUUACUGACGAGGACUAAUGUAAUGUAAUAUUUUCCUGAAGCACAUAUUUUUAGUGGUAAAAUGCGGAAUGUGAAAAUAUAUUAAAAAGUGAAUUUAAGGACCUUAAUGAAUAGCCUGUGAGUAUGAAAAAUUAUCUGAGAAAUGUUGUCAUCAAAGAAGACUUUGUGCAGUUGUAAAUCACUGGCCCAUGUUUCUCACCAUGUGCAAAGGAUUUACUUGCAAUCUAGUGUUUGGAAUACUUUCCUGCAAAAAAAAUGUGUGUUUUGCUUAAGGUUAACUCAGUCCAAAAUUUGGAAUUGAAGUAAUUAGUAAACUGAGUGGAACACAUGUCUAUUUGCUUAAAAAGACCAGGCAGAGUAGCCAAAUGUGAUGGAAAAAUGCCAAAAAAAACAAAACUAUUCCCACAUUUGCCCUAUUAUCAAAUCCAGGUAAUAAAAGGUUUGAUUGAUGAAGAUGUUGGCAGAGCGUCGAAAAUCGCUCUCUUGCCAUAUUUACAUACGGUAAAUCACUGCCUGCAGAGUGAGUGAUUUGGCAUUUGUGCCAUCUGCAAACAUUAAUAAGACAAAAAUAAAUAAAAUGAGGGAAAGGUGAUUAUGCAUGUCUGUGGGGAUUUUGUAGCAGGAUGGCUCUGGCAAAAGGGUUCCAACAUUUUGUACGAGCUCCUUCGCCAAGCCUCUAUCAGCUUCAUAAGUCAUAUCAGAUGUUUGGGUUUUAUUGGGACUUGAAAUAGUUAUUAGCCUGAGCACCCAGCCUGCUGGAUUUAUCUCCUGCUAAAUAAAGACCCACACAAUAAUGAGCUCUGCUUAGUGUGAUAUCUUCCUUUUAUUCACUACUUUUCUUCCAUUAAAUAAAAAACUACCCCUUUUAGAAUUAUGACAGGCAGGUGAUAUUGUCGUUAAUACAAGAGGUAAUAUAUCUCUUGACAAGACUAGUAUCCUUGGAAUUCACUUGAGAUGAAAAAAAGGUUUACAGAGCUAGCCUUAUUACAGCUGAAUUGCUAAAAUGUCUUCUUCGGUCGAUUAAAGGAAAACUUCCAUUAAACAAUGAACAAAACAGCCACAGUGGCUCUGAUAGAAACCUCAUUGCUGUGUAUGAGUGCAGACGGUUUGCUCAGUCUGCACUGCAAACCUUCAGCAGGAGGGAUUACAAGAGAAGGUAGAACAUUUAUGCCGUCCACUGCACGUUUCCUAAAUUACACUAUGCGGGUCAUUUCCAUAGGGGGUAAAAGUAGGCCUGCGGUGUAUCUAAUUUGUGUAUAAUACCAGCAGAAAUAGAGAAUCUCCUGCCAAGCAGCAUCUCAACUUCUGCCUUUGUCUGACAUCCUGUUGCCGGAAUUGCAAAACUCUGCCAAUCUUCUGCCGAUAUUCCAUGAAAUCAGAUGUAAAACCAAAACAAGACAUGCACUGGAAAGAUUGU